AAUUUGAAAUCUGGCCUCGUGCCCGAGUUGUAAUUUGUAGAGGAUGCUUCGGCGCGGCGCCUCCCGAGUGCCCUGGAACGGGACGCCACAGAGGGUGAGAGCCCCGUAUGGUUGGACGCCAAGCCUAUGUAAAGCUCCUUCGACGAGUCGAGUAGUUUGGGAAUGCUGCUCAAAACGGGAGGUAAAUUCCUUCUAAAGCUAAAUACCGGCCAGAGACCGAUAGCGCACAAGUAGAGUGAUCGAAAGAUGAAAAGCACUUUGAAAAGAGGGUUAAACAGCACGUGAAAUUGUUGAAAGGGAAGCGCUUGUGGCCAGACUUGGGCCCCGGGGAUCAGCUGGCGUUCUCGCCAGCGCACUCCGCGGGGCCCAGGCCAGCAUCGGUUCCCCUAGGGGGAUAAAAGCUCCGGGAACGUAGCUCCUCCGGGAGUGUUAUAGCCCGCUGCAGAAUACCCCUCGGGGGACCGAGGUACGCGCUCCGCAAGGAUGCUGGCGUAAUGGUCAUCAGCGGCCCGUCUUGAAACACGGACCAAGGAGUCAAGCAUUAGGGCGAGUGUUUGGGUGUCAAACCCGCACGCAUAAUGAAAGUGAACGCAGGUGAGAGCUUCGGCGCAUCAUCGACCGAUCCUGAUGUAUUCGGAUGGAUUUGAGUAGGAGCCUUACCGCUUGGACCCGAAAGAUGGUGAACUAUGCCUGUAUAGGGUGAAGCCAGAGGAAACUCUGGUGGAGGCUCGCAGCGGUUCUGACGUGCAAAUCGAUCGUCAAAUAUGGGCAUGGGGGCGAAAG
Molecule: ribosomal RNA, 783 nt
Filed under: Spadicoides atra
Lineage: Eukaryota; Fungi; Ascomycota; Sordariomycetes; Xenospadicoidales; Xenospadicoidaceae
Description: eukaryotic LSU rRNA
Rfam family: Eukaryotic large subunit ribosomal RNA
Source: RNAcentral